RNAcentral lists this ribosomal RNA (400 nucleotides) under uncultured bacterium. RNAcentral's name for it is "bacterial SSU rRNA". It matches the Rfam family "Bacterial small subunit ribosomal RNA", at positions 355 to 767 of the family's 1533-position model. The record is from RNAcentral.
UGGGGAAUAUUGCACAAUGGGCGCAAGCCUGAUGCAGCGACGCCGCGUGAGGGAUGAAGGCCUUCGGGUUGUAAACCUCUUUCGUCAGGGAAGAAGCGAAAGUGACGGUACCUGAAGAAGAAGCACCGGCUAACUACGUGCCAGCAGCCGCGGUAAUACGUAGGGUGCGAGCGUUGUCCGGAAUUAUUGGGCGUAAAGAGCUUGUAGGCGGUUUGUCGCGUCUGCCGUGAAAACCUAGGGCUUAACUCUGGGCGUGCGGUGGGUACGGGCAGGCUAGAGUGUGGUAGGGGAGACUGGAAUUCCUGGUGUAGCGGUGAAAUGCGCAGAUAUCAGGAGGAACACCGAUGGCGAAGGCAGGUCUCUGGGCCAUAACUGACGCUGAGAAGCGAAAGCAUGGGGA